This 375-nucleotide ribosomal RNA is filed under the name uncultured bacterium. RNAcentral describes it as "bacterial SSU rRNA". It matches the Rfam family "Bacterial small subunit ribosomal RNA", at positions 28 to 403 of the family's 1533-position model. The record is from RNAcentral.
GACGAACGCUGGCGGCGUGCCUAACACAUGCAAGUCGAACGGAGUAGAGACUUCGGUUUUUACUUAGUGGCGAACGGGUGAGUAACGCGUGAGAAACCUGCCUUUCAGUGGGGGACAACAGUUGGAAACGACUGCUAAUACCGCAUAACGCAGCUAGACCGCAUGGUCUUACUGCCAAAGCUUAAUGUGCUGAAAGAUGGUCUCGCGUCUGAUUAGCUAGUUGGUGAGGUAACGGCUCACCAAGGCGACGAUCAGUAGCCGGUCUGAGAGGAUGAACGGCCACAUUGGGACUGAGAUACGGCCCAGACUCCUACGGGAGGCAGCAGUGGGGAAUAUUGGGCAAUGGGGGAAACCCUGACCCAGCAACGCCGCGUG